CUAACCCUCCCCCGACUACCUUCACCCAGGUAUAUACAAACCCUCCCCCCGACUACCUUCACCCAGGUAUACUGUCUGGUGGUUGGAUGCAGAGUUGCCCAAACAUCCACCAAGUCAUACUGAAUCAAUACAUAAUUCAGCACCCCUGCAGAGACUGGAUGUGGCUCCUCACCAUUCCGGUCCCUGGUAAAAUCAAUCAUGCAGUUCCAACCCCCCCCUAAAACCAGCACCUCAGCCUGUUCUAUCAGUGCCAGCUCUUUGCGUUAGCACCCAAAAAACACUCCCCACUCCCGCCCUGUACUAGGUGCAUACACAUUUAUUAAAAACAAACAGCACAUUCUCAAUCUCUGCCUUUACAACCAACAACCUGCCGCCACACACUUCCUUUGACAACUUAAUAUUGACGCCCAGACCAAGGGAGAAAAAUACUGACACCCCUGCACUAUUGUUGGUACCAUGGCUCAGCCCCCCUGCACUACUGUUGGUACCAUGGCUCAGCACCUUUGCCCCCUUCCACCAGAGCCCCCAAUCCACCUCAUUUACAACAUGCAAAAACAGGUCAUCUAUAUGUUUAUGUUUGACAAACUCCCCCAACAGGUUUUCUAAGUGAUGUAAAGGGAACACUAGACCCUGUGCCCUACAGCAGUGGUUCUCAACUUUAGACCUUUUAUUCUGCUUCUCUUAUCAGGUAUAUAGUGAAACUUUCUCUAGCCACAGGGCCAAAUUUGUAUAUAACUAGAACUAAUAGGUCACACCAUAUUGAUUAUAGGAUAAAACCUUACAGAUAUCUGCAAGUUUGUAUGGUGUUGAGUCUAGGGUUUCAUUUGGAAUUGAGUUGUGAAGUUCACUUGCUCAAACAUGUUUUUUGAGCGUAGAGUGUGGACCUUACAUUCUAACUCUGAAAUUAUACAUUUUUGUUUAAUUCUGAUACAAUUCUGUCCUCUCCACUAAGUCAACCAAUACCAUAAAUGUAGGCUUCAAGGACAAGCUGUCACCAAGACACAUUUGAUCUGCAAUGUUAUCAGUCCUAAAGAGACGUGGGUAUUAUCUAAAAAUGUUUUUGUCCUUGAGAAAUGUUUUAAUCCAGACCUGUCAGCCUUGGAUGCAGAAUAGGAGGAUAUCUGAGGGAUGAUGGUUCCAAAGUGUGAUUCAUGUUUUGAAAUGUUGUGUGAGGCAAAGUCCUGAUGAGUCAAACCUAACAGAUAGAUGAGCUCAUGUCCCAGUUCAGACAUUAUCUGCUUGUGUCUGCUCAUUGUCAACACAAAAUAAAAAUCCCUUUGGCUUUCUCCUUUUCUGUUUUGAAACAAUCA
Long non-coding RNA from Esox lucius (northern pike), 1310 nucleotides. Lineage: Eukaryota; Metazoa; Chordata; Actinopteri; Esociformes; Esocidae. The record is from Ensembl.